UUUGCCGUGAUGAGCCGUAACACAUAAGAAUACCAAACGAUCAAUUUGGUUAUUCGAUGAAAUACCUUUUUACGCUUGGCUUCUGAGCUGA
This 91-nucleotide small nucleolar RNA is filed under the name Brachypodium distachyon (stiff brome). Its description in RNAcentral is "Small nucleolar RNA R24". It matches the Rfam family "Small nucleolar RNA R24". From Rfam's summary of the family: snoR24 is a C/D box small nucleolar RNA which acts as a methylation guide for 18S ribosomal RNA in plants. Lineage: Eukaryota; Viridiplantae; Streptophyta; Magnoliopsida; Poales; Poaceae. The record is from Rfam by way of RNAcentral.